AGAGUCCGGCAUUGGAGGACUGCGCGGACGUCCUCCAAAGUCAUCCAACGCCGGGCUUUCU
Molecule: non-coding RNA, 61 nt
Filed under: Spodoptera frugiperda (fall armyworm)
Lineage: Eukaryota; Metazoa; Arthropoda; Insecta; Lepidoptera; Noctuidae
Source: RNAcentral